Molecule: ribosomal RNA, 17 nt
Filed under: Trametes sanguinea
Lineage: Eukaryota; Fungi; Basidiomycota; Agaricomycetes; Polyporales; Polyporaceae
Description: partial 28S ribosomal RNA
Source: RNAcentral
UAGGACUACCCGCUGAA